RNAcentral lists this ribosomal RNA (401 nucleotides) under uncultured bacterium. RNAcentral's name for it is "bacterial SSU rRNA". It matches the Rfam family "Bacterial small subunit ribosomal RNA", at positions 355 to 774 of the family's 1533-position model. The record is from RNAcentral.
UGGGGAAUAUUGCACAAUGGGUGAAAGCCUGAUGCAGCAACGCCGCGUGAGCGAUGAAGGCCUUCGGGUCGUAAAGCUCUGUCCUCAAGGAAGAUAAUGACGGUACUUGAGGAGGAAGCCCCGGCUAACUACGUGCCAGCAGCCGCGGUAAUACGUAGGGGGCUAGCGUUAUCCGGAAUUACUGGGCGUAAAGGGUGCGUAGGUGGUUUCUUAAGUCAGAGGUGAAAGGCUACGGCUCAACCGUAGUAAGCCUUUGAAACUGGGAAACUUGAGUGCAGGAGAGGAGAGUGGAAUUCCUAGUGUAGCGGUGAAAUGCGUAGAUAUUAGGAGGAACACCAGUUGCGAAGGCGGCUCUCUGGACUGUAACUGACACUGAGGCACGAAAGCGUGGGGAGCAAACA